Molecule: transfer RNA, 72 nt
Filed under: Myxococcales bacterium
Lineage: Bacteria; Pseudomonadati; Myxococcota; Myxococcia; Myxococcales
Description: tRNA-Gln
Rfam family: tRNA
About the family: Transfer RNA (tRNA) molecules are approximately 80 nucleotides in length. Their secondary structure includes four short double-helical elements and three loops (D, anti-codon, and T loops).
Source: RNAcentral
AGGGGCGUGGGCUAGCGGUAAGCCACGGGAUUUUGGUUCCCGCUGACGUAGGUUCGAAUCCUACCGCCCCUG